This 497-nucleotide ribosomal RNA is filed under the name uncultured bacterium. RNAcentral describes it as "partial 16S ribosomal RNA". It matches the Rfam family "Bacterial small subunit ribosomal RNA", at positions 28 to 507 of the family's 1533-position model. The record is from RNAcentral.
GAUGAACGCUGGCGGCGUGCCUAAUACAUGCAAGUCGAGCGAACAGAUGAGGAGCUUGCUCCUCUGACGUUAGCGGCGGACGGGUGAGUAACACGUGGAUAACCUACCUAUAAGACUGGGAUAACUUCGGGAAACCGGAGCUAAUACCGGAUCAUAUAUUGAACCGCAUGGUUCAAUAGUGAAAUACGGUUUUGCUGUCACUUAUCGAUGGAUCCGCGCCGCAUUAGCUAGUUGGUAAGGUAACGGCUUACCAAGGCAACGAUGCGUAGCCGACCUGAGAGGGUGAUCAGCCACACUGGAACUGAGACACGGUCCAGACUCCUACGGGAGGCAGCAGUAGGGAAUCUUCCGAAAUGGGCGAAAGCCUGACGGAGCAACGCCGCGAGAGUGAUGAAGGUCUUCGAAUCGUAAAACUCUGUUAUUAGGGAAGAACAAAUGUGUAAGUAACUAUGCACGUCUUGACGGUACCUAAUCAGAAAGCCACGGCUAACUACGUG